This 847-nucleotide long non-coding RNA is filed under the name Rattus norvegicus (Norway rat). RNAcentral describes it as "long non-coding RNA NONRATT008356". Lineage: Eukaryota; Metazoa; Chordata; Mammalia; Rodentia; Muridae. The record is from RNAcentral.
CAAACCUCUAGAACCAGGCUGCUACAGAACACUGGCACCAGGAUGUUUAUCUAGAAGAAAAAGUAAUGGAGACUGUAUCAUUAGAGUGGAGAACUACAAUAAAAAUCUCAGGCCUGGAAUGCCUGAACAAUACCAAUUUACCACAGGAGUCCAACAUCGAAGCCUUGUUUGCCAGACUUGGAAUUCCUGAAAGGAUUAUCUCUGACAAUGAGCCGCAGUGGUACUCAGAAGAAUUUCCUCAUUUUGCCAAAACUUGGGCUGUUUGAAUCCUGCACAGUCAGUCCACAUUACCACAGAGCCAGACUCUAGUGAUGGAGCAGUGGUAACAAGAAGAAUGAAACUCUCAAAUGCAUUGGACUAAACAGAGACUAAUGAUAAAGGCCCCUGCCUCAGCCUCAGACUAUUUGGAGCAAGGAAUGCAUUGUGGGCAGCUCUCUCCCCUGUUCUCUCCCCAGUUAUUACAGCCUCAGCAUCUCCCCUCAGUACUAUCGUCUAUGCAUGGAAUGUGGAGGCUCACAGCAGCCAGUCUCCCCCUCACACAAAUACUGGAAAACUGAACCAAAAAAGAAACAAUAAGAAACUUAGACUACCAGGCCCUAUCCUUUAGAUUGAAUUAUUGACAUCAAACAUUGAGGCAGAAGUGCUUCCUGCCAGUGUUCACUUAUUUUUAAGGUAAUGUCAUCCAUAGUUUUCAUGAAUACCCUAGAAAAAGAAUAUUUUAAUUAGUUCAAUCAUAAUUGCGUCUCAUAAUUGAGACUCUAAUAUGGAGCUAGAUUUGUGUUGAUGAAGCGUAAUCUUGCCUCAGUUAAGGAUUUUCCAGUGGCAAAUAAUAGCAAUCACUCAAGGU